ACGCGUGGGUAACCUGCCUCAUACAGGGGGAUAACAGUUAGAAAUGACUGCUAAUACCGCAUAAGCGCACAGUGCUGCAUGGCACAGUGUGAAAAACUCCGGUGGUAUGAGAUGGACCCGCGUCUGAUUAGCUAGUUGGUGGGGUAACGGCCUACCAAGGCGACGAUCAGUAGCCGGCUUGAGAGAGUGAACGGCCACAUUGGGACUGAGACACGGUCCAGACUCCUACGGGAGGCAGCAUG
RNAcentral lists this ribosomal RNA (242 nucleotides) under uncultured bacterium. RNAcentral describes it as "partial 16S ribosomal RNA". It matches the Rfam family "Bacterial small subunit ribosomal RNA", at positions 113 to 353 of the family's 1533-position model. The record is from RNAcentral.